Long non-coding RNA from Coccinella septempunctata (seven-spotted ladybird), 546 nucleotides. RefSeq lists it as uncharacterized. The transcript is spliced from 3 exons. Lineage: Eukaryota; Metazoa; Arthropoda; Insecta; Coleoptera; Coccinellidae. The record is from RefSeq and is a predicted model, not a curated record.
UCUAAAACUCACGAUUAAUAUUCGCUUGAAACUUGAAAAAACUCAAAUAAAUCGGGGAAUCCCACUCGAAAACCUUUAAGUAUCUGGAUUUUCGGUUUCUGAAAAAUAUGGAUCUAGUGAAGGGACAGAUUACCUUUACUUGGCCACCCGAAAAAAUUAAAAGGGUUGAAACUGUCUGAAAAGACCUCUUUCGAUUUUAACUGUCCUCUGAGUUUUUGUGUUUCUCAAAUCAUUGUUGUCCCCAUCAACAUCAGUACUGUUUACAGUUACGCAAAAUUGGUAAAUUUCAGAAUCUUGUUACAACGAUGGUUGUAACAAGUUGCUAAAGGAUGCCCCAAUGAGCAGAACAAAAAUGAGACAAAGAGUUUCCACAGGUUUCCUUUUAAACGCCCAGAUAUUUUGGAACUUUGGAUUACUGCUGUAGGAAGGGAAAAUUGGUAUUCCUCAAAGUAUAGUAGAAUAUGUGAAGAUUACCUUCCUAAUCCAAGUUAUACAAGAAAAAUAUUGAAACUUGAUGCUGUACCAAGUGUAUUCAAUAAUAUCCCA